This 2991-nucleotide ribosomal RNA is filed under the name Boechera stricta. RNAcentral's name for it is "eukaryotic LSU rRNA". The stretch from base 996 to 2991 matches the Rfam family "Eukaryotic large subunit ribosomal RNA". The record is from RNAcentral. Lineage: Eukaryota; Viridiplantae; Streptophyta; Magnoliopsida; Brassicales; Brassicaceae.
AUCACACACUCACCUCAAAUGCUACUGUCCUGAACUCAAAAGCACACUUAAAUAUGCCAACAACAAAUGCCAACAGCCUAACAACACAAACAAAUCGACUUAAAACUCGAUUCCUUAAAUGACCCUUAUCGGAUCCACAAACAAACCAAGCAAGGUCCCUUACCAAACGAUGAUAGAACUGAGGUUACACGCUCAGCCCUAACUUCUCACAGCAACCAAACACACUUCUGAACACAGCAAUAGCACACAAAAAUCGAUUACAAAUCGAUUCCACAAAAUAACACCAAAACGAUCUCAAAAUGACCCCACGGGUCACUUACCCCAAACAAUCACUGAACCAACACCAAAGCAACCUAAACAACACCUCAAAAGCUCCACCAACACACGCUGAAGUUUCUAUCCAAAAACGAUAACCAAAAUAAGAACAUGUCCCAUGCAUCAAAACAAACUAAAAGUACUCAAAAUCGAGGUUUCCUUACCAACGAUUGACGCAACAACACCAAAGCAGUGACACGAGACUUCUUAGCCAAAAAGCCACACAUAUAGAAGCCUGCAAUAAGCCACAAAGCAGCUUACAAAAGCGCUCCAACGAAACUAAACGAAAACAAAAAGAAACGCUUACCCUUUUCGCAUUUUCUCAAGGAUCCAAGGGGCGAUUCUUCACAGCUCUGAAAGGGCUCGACUCCAACGGUUCAAAAUGAUGAAACACAUCAAAACAUACCCAGAAACAACCGAAAACAACAGCCAAACCAAACAGAAAUUGCUUACCAAUUCACGACGAGACAACACAGGCCAACCCCUUCUCACGCGGCCAGCUCUCUCUCGAAAUCUCUUUCAGCAAAGGCAUGAGCUCUCUCUAUUUCCUGAUGUUUUGCGCGGCCAGAGGUGCAAAAAGGAGAGCUUAAAUAUGCAAAAUUAGGUCAAGGGAUCUCACGGGCCAACUCUUAAGGCCACCACAAAAAGCCCACCAAAAAUCGCAAAUUCACUCGGCCCAAAAUCUCCAAAACAAGACAUUUUACUGAGUUUUGUAUUUGCUAAAAUCGGAAAUCCAUUUCAGGAAAUUUUCCAAAAUCGGCCUGAUCAUACGUCCGUAUCGCAUCCAUACGGACGCUGUCCGUUCGUCCGCAGGACGCAGUCCACGUCUGUACCGCACGUCCGCAUCAAGCGCACGGUAGCUUCGCGCCACUGGCUUUUCAACCAAGUGCGAUGACCAAUUGUGCGAAUCAAUCGCUGCAAAACCUAGGGCGCGAACCCGGGCGGAGCGGCUGCCGGUGCAGAUCUUGGUGGCAGUAGCAAAUAUUCAAAUGAGAACUUUGAAGGGCAAAGAGGGGAAAGGUUCCAUGUGAACGACACUUCCACAUGGGUUAGUUGAUCUUAAGAGUCAGGGGAAACCCGUCUGAUAGCGCCUAUGCGCGAACUUCGAAAGGGGAUCCAGUUAAAAUUUCGGAACCGAGACGUGUCGGUUGACGGCAACGUUAGGGAGUCCAGAGACGUUAGCGGGGGCCUCAGGAAGAGUUAUCUUUUUUGUUUAAUGGUCUGCCCACCUUGGAAACGGCUCAGCCGGAGGUAGGGUCGCGUGUUGUCCGGUGCGCCCCCGACGGCCCUUGAAAAUCUAGAGGACCGAGUGCCGCUCACGCCAUGUCGUACUCAUAACCGUAUCAGGUCUACAAGGUGAACAACCUCUGCUCGAUAGAACAAUGUAGGUAAGGGAAGUCGACAAAAUGGAUCCGUAACUUUGGGAAAAGGAUUGGCUCUGAGGGCUGGGCUCGAGGCUCCCAGUUCCGAACCUGUUGGCUGUCUGCGAACUGCUUGAGAUGCUUCCAUGGUGAGAGCGGGUCGCCGCAUGCCGGCCAGGGACGGACUGAGAAUGGUUCUCUCGGGAGCUUUCCUCCCGGGCAUCGACCAGUUAGCUCAGAACUGAUACGGACAAGGGGAAUCCGACUGUUUAAUUAAAAAAAAGCAUUGCGAUGGUCCCUGCGGAUGCUAACGCAAUGUGAUUUCUGCCCAGUGCUCUGAAUAUCAAAGUGAAGAAAUUCAACCAAGCGCGGAUAAACGGCGGGAGUAACUAUGACUCUCUUAAGGUAGCAAAAUGUCUCGUCAUCUAAUUAGUGACGCGCAAAAAUGGAAGAACGAGAUUCCCACUGUCCCUGUUUACUAUCCAGCGAAACCACAACCAAGGGAACAGUCUUGGCAGAAUCAGCGGGGAAAGAAGACCAUGUUGAGCUUGACUCUAGUCUGACUUUGUGAAAUGACUUGAGAGGUGUAGGAUAAGUGGGAGCUUCAGCGCAAGUGAAAUACCACUACUUUUAACGUUAUUUUAAGUACUCUAUGAGUCGGAGGUGGGGUACAACCCUGUUUUUGGACCCAAGGCUCGCUUCGGCGGGCCGAUCCUGGCGGAGGACAUUGUUAUGUGGGGAGUUCGGCUGGGGUGGCACAUCUGUUAAAAGAUAACGUAGUUAUCCUAAGUGAGCUCAACAAGAACAUAAAUCUCGUGUGGAACAAAAGGGUAAAAGCUCAUUUGAUUCUGAUUUUCAGUAAGAAUAUGAACCGUGAAAGCGUGGCCUAUCGAUCCUUUAGACUUUUGGAAUUUGAAGCUAGAGGUGUCAGAAAAGUUACCACAUGGAUAACUGGCUUGUGGCAGCCAAGCGUUCAUAGCAACGUUGCUUUCUAAUCCUUCGAUGUCGGCUCUUCCUAUCAUUGUGAAGCAGAAUUCACCAAGUGUUGGAUUGUUCACCCACCAAUAGGGAACGUGAGCUGGGUUUAGACCAUCGUGAGACAAAUUAGUUUUACCCUACUGAUGCCCACGUCGCGAUAGUAAUUCAACCUAGUACAAGAGGAACCGUUGAUUCGCAUAAUUGGUCAUCGCGCUUGGUUGAAAAGCCAGUGGCGCGAAUCUACCAUGCGCUGGAUUAUGACUAAAUGCCUCUAAGUCAGAAUUGUAAGUGGCAGAGUGGCCUUGCUACCACGAUCCACUGAGAUUCAGCCCGUUGU